GACAGAGGGUGCAAGCGUUGUUCGGAAUUACUGGGCGUAAAGGGCGUGUAGGCGGUUUAGUCUGUCUGAUGUGAAAUACCCAAGCUCAACUUGGGAACUGCAUUGGAUACUGCUAAACUAGAGUGCUAGAGAGGAAAGCGGAAUUCCUAGUGUAGAGGUGAAAUUCGUAGAUACUAGGAGGAACAUCUGAGGCGAAGGCGGCUUUCUGGAUAGUUACUGACGCUGAGGCGCGAAAGCGUGGGGAGCAAACAGG
This 253-nucleotide ribosomal RNA is filed under the name uncultured bacterium. Its description in RNAcentral is "partial 16S ribosomal RNA". It matches the Rfam family "Bacterial small subunit ribosomal RNA", at positions 524 to 776 of the family's 1533-position model. The record is from RNAcentral.